RNAcentral lists this long non-coding RNA (2065 nucleotides) under Zonotrichia albicollis (white-throated sparrow). RNAcentral describes it as "lncRNA (ENSZALG00000010071.1)". The record is from RNAcentral. Lineage: Eukaryota; Metazoa; Chordata; Aves; Passeriformes; Passerellidae.
CCCGCCCGGAGCUGAGGGAGGGAGGGAGGGAGGACCCGGCGCUCCCCGCCCGGCGCCACCCGGGGGGAGUUUCCCCUCAGCGCGGGCAGGUGGGGCCGCUCCGCCGCCCGCCCCGCCUCAGCCCCGCGGGGCAGCGCGGGCAGCUCACGGCUCGGCCUCUGCCCCUCGCCGGCAGCCGCCGCCAGCAGCAACAGGUCCGUGCCCGCUCCUCCCUCCGCCUGCCAGGCGAACAAAGGGGCCGAGCGCGGCCCCGCGCCCGCCCGGCCCCUCCGCCAGCCCGGCCCCUGCGCUUCAGCCAUUUGCCUCGCCUGGCACCGCGGCGCCGCUCGCCGCCGCCUCCCGCUCCGCCGCCUGGGCCGGGCGGCGCGGUCGCUGCGCUGCGGGAGCUGCCCCGGAGCGGCGCGGGGCUCGUCGGCCGAAAGGAUCAGGAACAAUUGAUUGGCAAUGCUGCACCCUUUUCUUCAUCCUAAAGUGCUCCUUGGAUACUAACUGGCAGUUUUGGCUUCAGAAGGAUUACAAGACUGGAUUUUUAAAUGCUACUUCCAGAAUGUAAAGCCUUAAGCAUACAUGCUUCCAUCCAUUCAACCACCAUGUUCUGCUGGAAACCUACUAAUGCUGUAGAGGCAAGGUAACAUUUUCCCUGUGGGUACUCUGUAUUUCCCAGCACACACAUUCAAGGACUGUAUCCUUUCAGCUGUAGCACCACGCUGGUAUGUUUGGUGCUGCUGUUAGUUCAAUGGAGUCUUAGCUGUACCCAGAUAUGAUGAAAGCAACCAAACUUCAGUUUAUCACAGACAGAACCACGUGCUCUCAUGUUUAGAACUGUAGCUGUGAGCCCAUGUGUAGAAUUAGCAGCAAUUCUGCAUAAAAGGUUUCAUUACAUUCAGUGUGGUGUGGCCAUGCCAUACUUAUCUCUUGACUGUAGUGCAUUAGUGAUAAAAGCACCACAUCAGCCCUGGAGUUUUUCCCAAAGGUAUUGUAAUCACUCAAAGCUUGUUUCUUUCAAAAAAAGACUGUUCUUUUUUUGUUAGACUUUUCUUUCCUCUGAGGGAUAUUGGAGAGAACUUGCACUUAAUCUUUGCUAGAUUUUCUUUUGUAGGAGUGUUAUUUCCUUUUUGUUGUGAGAAUUCCUCAGAGACACUACUCCUCCCUAUUUCUGAAGAGUCCAAACUGGAAGGAGCUCAGAAAGAUAGUUUUCUUUUUAGAAAAUGUUUGUCUCUAUGAGUAUAACAGUUAGGAAACCUUUUCUCUGGUCAUGAUGACUGUUUAGAACUUGUAUAUUUUUGGUUUAGAUUUGUUAGCUAUAGUAUUGAUUUAAUCAAGCUUUUGAUAAUAUUUUUAUUAUGACUUACUUCCUUUCUCUCUUCCUCCCUGCCCAGACACACACAGCCUUUUCUUCCCCUGAGUUUCUGAUGAGGAACUGCUGUCCAUCUGUUUCUUGUGUGGUCUGUAGUCAUAAGCUGCAAUUCUUAAAUGUUGAUUUUUCUUUGUGGUUGUAUGAAAAUGUUGUAGUUAUGAGAUAAAGACCAAUUCAUACUUCUAUUACGUAUUGUCAAAAAAUUACAGCACGUUAAGAGGUCAAAAUUUGCAUCCACACAUGAAUGUGAAUCCAAUACUAUAAAAGCCAUAUAUCCAGCAGUCAGGGCAAGACACUAGGAUUGUAACAUAUCCAACUUUAAAAAAGGGAGAGAAAAAACUAUUCUUUAUAUUGUUUUUCUUGAGGUGGCACAUUGGAAGAUAACUGUAUUCUUUUCAUACAAAUAGGAGGUUAAUCAAGUGGUUAAGAUUUAGAGUUUAAUUCUGUAAUGGGCUCCAGUAAUGCAGGACCUUUCAGAGAAAUGGCAUCUUUAUGCUCCAGAUGUUUUCCCCAUCUACAAAGAGAACAUUUUUUCUUCCAAAUUUCACAGAUCUACUCAGUGACCAGGAGUGUUGCAGACUGUUUUUAUAAGUAUACAAACCACUCUACACUUGACAUUGCCUACACUUCACCCUGGCAAGUUCUACUUUCAAGUCAUUGUUUAGUUUUUAAAAUAAAUAUAAGGGAUGUUAUUUCUCUUUUGAUGAU